Esox lucius (northern pike) is the source of this 2229-nucleotide long non-coding RNA. NCBI's taxonomy places the organism in Eukaryota, Metazoa, Chordata, Actinopteri, Esociformes, Esocidae. The record is from Ensembl.
GGGCUCUGGAGAGGGCCAGACGGUAGAGUAAUACUUCCACCAGCCAUGCGAGGAGAUACAUUUGCAGAAGCUCAUGGGUUGGGCCAUGUAGGGCCGGCUCAAAUGUUAAGAAACUUGUGCCACUGGUGGCACCUGUUUAUGGUAGACAUGGUACGCAACUACAUUAGGACAUGCACCAUCUGUACUCACUACAAUCCAAAACCAACGAUUAAACCUGAGAUGGGGACGUUCCCCAUGACGAUGAGACCUGGACAAGAGAUAGUGAUAGACUACAUGGACAUGAGGGAAACAGUACGGGGGUGCCGUUACAUGUUGGUGUGUGUGGACAUGUUCACAGGGUGGCCAGAAGCCUGGCCGGUAAGAAGGGAGGACAGUCAGACAGUGAUCAAGUGUUUAGUGAACCAGUACAUUCCCAGACUCGGCUUCCCAGAGAAAAUCAGGUCAGACAAUGGGACUCACUUUAAGAACAGUGAUUUACAGAAGGUAGAGAGCUUAUUGGGCCUAAAACAUGCUUUUGGCACUGUAUACCACCCACAGUCCCAGGGAAAGGUAGAAAGGAUUAACCAAAAUUAAAAAAACAAGUUGGCUAAGAUAUGUGCACAGACUAAAUUGAACUGGGUAGAUGCACUGCCACUCAUGACAAUUCGAUGCUCGUUAAAUCAGACCACUGGGUUCACCCCAUACGAGCUGCUGAAGGGGAGACAGUUUCAAGGACCAGCCUCAGGGCCUGCGGUCCCGGAAGGGGAAAAGUGGCCCAAAGAUCACAGAGUGUAUUUUGAUGAAUUGCGAGCUCUCGUUUCAGAAUUCACCAACAGAGUCGGAGAAUGGUGGAACCUGCACCCGCUGGACCAGAACCUGCCCCAGGCGGAGUGGGUGCUGCUGAAGGUCAUCAAACGAAAGUGGUCGGAGCCAAGGUGGACGGGUCCUCAUCAGGUGGUGGAGAGAACGAGCCAUGCGGUCCGCCUGAGGGACAAAGGAGAGACGUGGUACUAUUGGAGCCAGUGUACACCAGCGCAGGAGCCAGGGAGAUCACUGACGGACCUCAUCCAAACUGGGAAGGUGGAGCUUGCCCCAGUGGGGACGGAAGGAGGACCAAAACCAGCCGGACCGGUGCCCGGAGCGGACCCCAGGAUACUGCGGGACUACGAGCGAGAGAAGGAAACAAAGGACGGCGCCAGGGGAAUAGACUUUUAGGGGAAGGAACCGAAAGAAUACUGUAACAAAAGGGGGUUUAGGACACCGAGUGGCUCCUACCACUCGUACCAAGAUGACAGGGUUACAGAGAAAGGUCUGGGGAGAUGAUAGUAGAAUGAAGUGGUACAUGGGCAUUGGUCGAAUAAUGAUAUGUGUGUUAUAUGUUGCUACAGGUUUCCUCGGUUGGCAUCGGGUCUCCACUUCCCCAGCGAGAAGGCAUGUGACACAAAAAAAGGACCCCUGCCUGAAGAAGGGAGGGGGUAUCGAAUUGGAUUAUAUCAAAGGGUCACAUACUGCUUUCACGUUUGAUUUAUGCUCGGUCAUAGCUUGCGGGAGAUAUAAUGGCUCGUAGAGGAAUUACGAUCUGUAUGUGUGUCACACUCCAUUGGUAGAUGCGGCAUGUGCCAUGUGGGGACGUCCGCCGGUUGAUGGGUGGUGCCCGGGAUGGGACAAGGUCCGAGCGUAUACUGGACAGUGACAGCCUGGACUCCCGCGGGGACCAAAUGCCACCAUGUGGAACUCGUUUAAGUUCCAACGAGAUUUCAGCCCCUCCCAGAACCCACCCACCCUUUCUAUCGGAGGUUGGGACCGCUCUCCUUACCGAGUAGCGGACAAAAUAUAUUUGGUUCUCGGAGUGGAACAUUCAGGAACAGACACCAGAGCGUUCAGCAGAUGACUACAAGGACCUUGUUGCAAAACGAGACAAGUUCAUUAAUAAAGAAGAUAUCUAUACAGAGCAGCUAAAGCGAUCAAUCAAAAUGAAGAAAAGGUAAACAGCCCGGUGCCUACCAAAGAUGCAACAAUGGCAAUGAUGGAAGAAUUUAAGAAAGAACUUAAAAAGAAGUCUCCUGCAACCCAGACACAGGAGGACACAGGAGGAUAAUUUCAGUCCUUCCCUGAUGUCAACUCAAAAGCGACAAGAAAGGGAUUCAUCUGAAGACGAAUCCGAUGAAUCAGCCAUGGCCCUGAAAAAGACCCGUUCAGGAUUGGAUAAGCGAACCAUAACUGCAUUAAAAGGUACAAUAUGUGUAGGAG